RNAcentral lists this transfer RNA (74 nucleotides) under Clostridiales bacterium. RNAcentral's name for it is "tRNA-Pro". It matches the Rfam family "tRNA". Rfam says of the family: Transfer RNA (tRNA) molecules are approximately 80 nucleotides in length. Their secondary structure includes four short double-helical elements and three loops (D, anti-codon, and T loops). The record is from RNAcentral. Lineage: Bacteria; Bacillati; Bacillota; Clostridia; Eubacteriales.
CGGGAUGUAGCGCAGUUUGGUAGCGCACAAGCAUGGGGUGUUUGGGGCCGCAGGUUCGAAUCCUGUCAUCCCGA